CAAAACAUAUUAUGAAACAGAAUGACUGUGAUCUUUGAUCCGAGAAAUCAAAGUUAAAGUCAAUGAGAUCAUCAGGAAGGAGUUUUCAGGACCUCCCGUCCGAAAUCAAACGUAGAAGUCAUUCCUACGACACCGUCCACAUUGCUGACCCGGAGCCUCCCAGGCCCCCUCGCCCUCCACCCUAGCAUCCACCCUGCCCCGGGGCUGCGGGCAGGGCCAAGUGCCCGCUGAAAGCUGACCUUCAUUCCCGAGCUCGCCGCCUCUCUCUCUGCAUCCCGGGUCUUGCUCUGAAUCCCAAAGAGCAUCUCCGUUGACUUUGACGGUGUCCCAUCCAAGCCUUAAGUGCCUGCUGACCCCAGAUACAUUCUGAUCAAGACCGCCCGCUGGAACAGAAGAUGGGGGCGUGGCAACUGAACCCCAGCCUUCGCCUUCACUUUCUCGGGUCACCAAUAUGACUCUUGUACCUUUUGAAGGAAAGGAGGUUCUCCCACAGAGCAACCAAAGGAACGUGGCCUAGCUGACAGGCUGGAGAGAAAUAGAGAACUCGGCCCAUGCUCACCUAGCAGUCACAUGGGCCUCACCGUGGAUGGGCCACAGCUCAAGCUUGGUUUUUAGAUUUUCUGCUUCUGAAGCAAAAAAAAAAACAAACCCAAUCUGGUUUAUACAAGCUCACCUGUUAAAACUUCUUGGCCUUAAGUUAUGACAUGUGUCUGUUUCCCCCCAACUUUCUCUGCUUUCAAAAAGCUGGCUGGAGGGGGGCCUUCUCGGCCAGCUGCCUUCCCCCGCUGCACGGGACUGGUGGGCGUCACCCCAGCUGCAGGGUGAGCACCGUCCACUGCGGCCGGACAAGCUUCACAACUCUCUGCUCUUCCCACUUACUUUUCUCCAACAGCCCAAGUGAUUUUCCAUAAUGUAGUUAAGAAGAAUCUCAAGCAUGUGCAUUGAAUUUUGAGAAGGAAUGGCAGAAGGGCUGAAGCAAUCCACUCCCCCCUAAAAAAUAGCCAUGCAGGUAUCUUUGUUAAGUGAAGUGUGGUCAUUGGCGGGUCCAAGUGUUUCAGUGGGUGGGUUCCUCCAGGAAGAAGGCCGAAUCCCCUGUCCGGCCUAGACUCAAAGUGGGACACGAGCUCAGGAUUUGGCUCCAGAGUUCGAUGGUUACCUUUGCCUGGACCCACUGAAACCCGCCCCCUCCCUCACCCCCAAAGACCCAUCUACAUUAGCUGCUUCAUCCAGCAAGAAAGUGACCUAAAUAGAAGCAAACCCACUCCCUGCACAGCCCUCAAUUUGA
RNAcentral lists this long non-coding RNA (1285 nucleotides) under Bos taurus (domestic cattle). Its description in RNAcentral is "long non-coding RNA NONBTAT005818". The record is from RNAcentral. Lineage: Eukaryota; Metazoa; Chordata; Mammalia; Artiodactyla; Bovidae.